ACCAGGCAUGGUGGUGCAUGCCUGUAAUCCCAGCAGCUUGGGAGACUGAGGCAGGAGGAUCACAAGUUCAAAGUCAGCCUCAGCAAUUUAUUGGGGCCCUAAGCAACUUAGCGAGACCCUGUCUCAA
Molecule: small RNA, 127 nt
Filed under: Marmota monax (woodchuck)
Lineage: Eukaryota; Metazoa; Chordata; Mammalia; Rodentia; Sciuridae
Source: RNAcentral